RNAcentral lists this ribosomal RNA (406 nucleotides) under uncultured bacterium. RNAcentral describes it as "partial 16S ribosomal RNA". It matches the Rfam family "Bacterial small subunit ribosomal RNA", at positions 29 to 526 of the family's 1533-position model. The record is from RNAcentral.
AUUGAACGCUGGCGGCAGGCCUAACACAUGCAAGUCGAACGAGUGGCGGACGGGUGAGUAAUGUCUGGGAAACUGCCUGAUGGAGGGGGAUAACUACUGGAAACGGUAGCUAAUACCGCAUACCAUCAGAUGUGCCCAGAUGGGAUUAGCUAGUAGGUGGGGUAAAGGCUCACCAAGGCGACGAUCCCUAGCUGGUCUGAGAGGAUGACAAGCAACACUGGAACGGAGACACGGUACAGACGCAUACGGGAGGCAGCAGUGGGGAAUAUUGCACAAGGGGCGAAAGCCUGAUGCAGCCAUGCCGCGUGUAUGAAGAAGGCCUUCGGGUUGUAAAGUAAUUUCAGCGGGGAGGCGUUACCCGCAGAAGAAGCACCGGCUAACUCCGUGCCAGCAGCCGCGGUAAUUC